This is a long non-coding RNA of Octopus bimaculoides (California two-spot octopus), 1392 nucleotides long. The record is from RefSeq and is a predicted model, not a curated record. NCBI's taxonomy places the organism in Eukaryota, Metazoa, Mollusca, Cephalopoda, Octopoda, Octopodidae.
CCACGUAAAAAUAAUCCGGAUCGCAGUAGGCGAUAGUGGAGGAGCUUAUUCGUGUUCUAAUUAAAGUGAUUCAAACUGUUUGACUGCGUUCAAGAUACUAACCACUGUUAUUACAAACAGACACACAUUUACCAAAGAAAACUACAUGCUAUUCAAAACAAAAACAUGUAUUGUAGGACGUAUGACAUGCCAAGCAUGAAACUAAUAGCCUUAGAGUACCAACAAGAACAACUGUAUUAGAUGCACAGGGCAUUUUAUUCAUAAUCCAUUUCAAAUCUAUGAUGUCGCUAUCACCAUUGGAAUUGCUUCUGAAUUGGCCGUGAAGAAGAAUUGUAAGAUAAUGAACUGCUUCAGAGAUAUUCCGUCACUACCCUUCUCGUUAAAUCUACUCAAAUUUACCUUUUAUUUGAUCUGGUACUUCGUAGUUUUUAUAGAUAUAUUUUAUUAUUUAAUGUGCGGUUGCCACAAUUGUAGUGAAGUAAUUCCGGAAAAUGUUCUGGCUGACGAAUUAUUGACAACAACAUCAAUGUGGGACAAUUUCCUGAUCUUAUCAACGGUAGUUAAGGGAAAUUAUUGUUGCGAACACUGCCACUCUCUCUACAGAGUCCGAAUCUGGAGGAAUUUACCAAUUAUUGGGAACUGGAUUUGUGACAUUACUUUAGCUUUCCAUUUACUAUAAACUGUACAAUAAUAAACAGGAUUAUUUCAUCAUUGCUAAAGGUCUCAUGCCGUCACUGUUAAGUUGCUCACAUUCAUCAGAAACACCGAAAUAAUCUGAUUGUAUUUCACAGACUGACUCAUAUGUUUGGCCGAUCGACAACGCACGCAUGAAACCUUUAGGUGUGAGGAAAUAUUCUGUUUAGCAACACACAAUCAAAACAGACUGUACACACUUCUAACAUUGACAUGUAUUGAACAGUUUGCAAUUUUUCACAAAACACAAAACUGGUACCAUUUAUAUCGACAUAUAUAAUGUGUAUAUAUACAGGACAAAUUAUGUGCACACAAGAAGGUGAAAGGAGAGAACUUAACACAAAAUUCAGAGUAUAUGUUAUAUUAUGGGAAGCUGAAACCACCACAAAUUGUAACUCCAAUUUACUAGUUUCCAAUCUCUGGAAGAUUAUAACUGCUAGAACACACAAAACCAAUAUAUAUGUACAUACACUCACAUACAUAUAUACAUAUGCAUCUGACAGAAAAAUAUGAUUCAAAUAUUCAAAUGUAACGUGUAGAUUUUGUUUGAUUGGACAAUGGAAAAAUACCCAUCAUGCAUUGCUUUGUUAGAUCCUGUGCGGUUUAAAUAUGUUGAGAUGAGAACAAAAGUGAAUGGAGGGCGUGAGUUUUAUAUAAUGUACAGGAAUGGAAUAUGAAUAAAAUAAAAAUAAUCUUUAA